CCUACGGGGGGCAGCAGUGGGGAAUUUUGGACAAUGGGCGCAAGCCUGAUCCAGCCAUUCCGCGUGCAGGAUGAAGGCCCUCGGGUUGUAAACUGCUUUUGGACGGAACGAAAAGCCUUUUUCUAAUACAGGAAGGUCAUGACGGUACCGUCAGAAUAAGCACCGGCUAACUACGUGCCAGCAGCCGCGGUAAUACGUAGGGUGCAAGCGUUAAUCGGAAUUACUGGGCGUAAAGCGUGCGCAGGCGGUUAUGUAAGACAGAUGUGAAAUCCCCGGGCUCAACCUGGGAACUGCAUUUGUGACUGCAUAGCUAGAGUACGGUAGAGGGGGAUGGAAUUCCGCGUGUAGCAGUGAAAUGCGUAGAUAUGCGGAGGAACACCGAUGGCGAAGGCAAUCCCCUGGACCUGUACUGACGCUCAUGCACGAAAGCGUGGGGAGCAAACAGGAUUAGAUACCCUGGUAGUCCNCCCCNUAAACNAUGUCAACUGGUUGUUGGGUCUUCNCUGACUCAGUANCGAANCUAACNCGUGAAGUUGACCNCCUGGGGAGUACNGCCNCNAGGNUGAAACUCAAAGNAAUUGACGGGGACCCCCCCANCCGGGGAAGAUGNGGUUUANUUNAUNCAACNCNAAAANCUUACCCCCNUUUACUUUCCGGAANCCNCCCAAAAGGNGGANGGGUGGAAANAAAAAAAANCCNGNCCUGGGUGG
This 710-nucleotide ribosomal RNA is filed under the name uncultured bacterium. RNAcentral's name for it is "partial 16S ribosomal RNA". It matches the Rfam family "Bacterial small subunit ribosomal RNA", at positions 338 to 1052 of the family's 1533-position model. The record is from RNAcentral.